This 91-nucleotide ribosomal RNA is filed under the name Anaerosolibacter carboniphilus. Its description in RNAcentral is "Bacterial small subunit ribosomal RNA". It matches the Rfam family "Bacterial small subunit ribosomal RNA", at positions 1 to 95 of the family's 1533-position model. The record is from Rfam by way of RNAcentral. Lineage: Bacteria; Bacillati; Bacillota; Clostridia; Peptostreptococcales; Thermotaleaceae.
UUUAUAGAGAGUUUGAUCCUGGCUCAGGAUGAACGCUGGCGGCGUGCCUAACACAUGCAAGUCGAGCGGAGCUGAUGAUUAGCUUGCUAUG